AACGCUGGCGGCAGGCCUAACACAUGCAAGUCGAGCGGCAGCGGGAGGAAGCUUGCUUCCUUGCCGGCGAGCGGCGGACGGGUGAGUAAGGUAUGGGGAUCUGGCCGAAGGCGGGGGAUAACCACUGGAAACGGUGGCUAAUACCGCAUAAUCUCUAAGGAGCAAAGUGGGGGACCGUUCAGGCCUCACACCUUCGGAUGAACCCAUAUGAGAUUAGCUAGUAGGUGGGGUAAUGGCUCACCUAGGCGACGAUCUCUAGCUGGUCUGAGAGGAUGAUCAGCCACACUGGGACUGAGACACGGCCCAGACUCCUACGGGAGGCAGCAGUGGGGAAUAUUGCACAAUGGGCGCAAGCCUGAUGCAGCCAUGCCGCGUGUAUGAAGAAGGCCUUCGGGUUGUAAAGUACUUUCAGUCGUGAGGAAGGUGUUAAGGUUAAUAACCUUAGCAAUUGACGUUAGCGACAGAAGAAGCACCGGCUAACUCCGUGCCAGCAGCCGCGGUAAUACGGAGGGUGCGAGCGUUAAUCGGAAUUACUGGGCGUAAAGGGCACGCAGGCGGUUAAUUAAGUUGGAUGUGAAAUCCCCGGGCUUAACCUGGGAAUGGCAUUCAAGACUGGUUAACUAGAGUCUUGUAGAGGGGGGUAGAAUUCCAUGUGUAGCGGUGAAAUGCGUAGAGAUGUGGAGGAAUACCGGUGGCGAAGGCGGCCCCCUGGACAAAGACUGACGCUCAUGUGCGAAAGCGUGGGGAGCAAACAGGAUUAGAUACCCUGGUAGUCCACGCUGUAAACGAUGUCGAUUUGGAGGUUGUGGUCAUGAACUGUGGCCUCCGGAGCUAACGCGUUAAAUCGACCGCCUGGGGAGUACGGCCGCAAGGUUAAAACUCAAAUGAAUUGACGGGG
Molecule: ribosomal RNA, 898 nt
Filed under: Arsenophonus endosymbiont of Hyalopterus amygdali
Lineage: Bacteria; Pseudomonadati; Pseudomonadota; Gammaproteobacteria; Enterobacterales; Morganellaceae
Description: bacterial SSU rRNA
Rfam family: Bacterial small subunit ribosomal RNA
Source: RNAcentral